AUACGGAGGGUGCAAGCGUUACUCGGAAUCACUGGGCGUAAAGCGCGCGCAGGCGGCUUGAUAAGUUGGAUGUGAAAGCCUACGGCUCAACCGUAGAACUGCAUCCAAAACUGUCAAGCUAGAGUCUGUGAGGGGAAGAUGGAAUUAGUUGUGUAGGGGUAAAAUCCGUAGAGAUAACUAGGAAUACCAAAAGCGAAGGCGAUCUUCUGGAACAGUACUGACGCUGAGGCGCGAAAGCGUGGGGAGCAAACAGAAUUAGAAACCCCAGUAGUCC
This 274-nucleotide ribosomal RNA is filed under the name uncultured bacterium. Its description in RNAcentral is "partial 16S ribosomal RNA". It matches the Rfam family "Bacterial small subunit ribosomal RNA", at positions 523 to 796 of the family's 1533-position model. The record is from RNAcentral.